This is a long non-coding RNA of Patella vulgata (common limpet), 2478 nucleotides long. RefSeq lists it as uncharacterized. The transcript has 5 exons. NCBI's taxonomy places the organism in Eukaryota, Metazoa, Mollusca, Gastropoda, Patellidae. The record is from RefSeq and is a predicted model, not a curated record.
CUCACUUGGAUCACGUCCUCAACACCUCUUGUUUGAUUAGUACCAUGGUACCAAAGGAACCUGAUACUAUUCUUCUUGGAGUGGCAAGACUUAUGCUGGAAGUAUUUUGUGAUGGAUAUUACAUGGUUCCAAAUAAAAACCAUCUGAAUUUAUUGUUGAUGGUUAAAUAUCAAACAGACCUCAUUUUAAACGGUGAGAAGAAAUGGGAAACAUUACCAGGCUGCCAGACACGCCCCAUUGAUAACAAAGGUCUGCCUGCUGCCGCUGUACACAAAACACCCAACCCAGAACCAAUCGAUGCCACAAAAUUGCCGCUAGCAGAAAAAAUUCGACGACUUUCAAUGUUUUUACGAAGUGAAAAAAAAGUAAUCAAUGAAAUUAUGUUGUUUGAGAAUUCUCUGAUGAGUUGUAAAGUUGGAAUUUGACCAGAUUUUUUGAUCGAUGGCAUGGUACAAGGAAAGAACGGAUCCUUUUUCACUGGCCGACUUAAUCUGGGUGGUGUGUUCCUAGCCAGAGCUAUCGGCAUCAACAAGAAAGAAAUCAAACUGUCAUGUUUCAAGAAGGCGGUGGAACUUUAUCGUACCCUUCCUGUCACUGAAAUUUUGAACCAGGAUGAUAUGACCCCAAAAGUUAUCAAGGAGAAACUGGAGAAUUUUAACUCGACCGUUGCUAAGAUGGAGAAAGAAACAAUUGCAGAGUUACCCCCACCAUCUAUUUUGAAACAGAUCCAAGAUAUUCUAACCAAUCCUAAAUAUGCUUCAACCAAUUCAGUCAGCAAAAUGGAGUUGGCGGCCUCUGUGGCUAAAUGUCGAGUCCGUUGUCGAUAUGAUGUAGAGAGUUGUAAAGCUGAAUCAGGGAAAGUUUAUCAUAAGGGAAUGUACUUUAUUGACAACAUACUACAAGGUGCAGGUGUUUCAGUUUCCAAAAAAACUGCUAAGUCAUUGUGUUAUAAUAUGGUGGUUGAACGACUGACCACCAUGAAUGUUGAACAUGGCAACAUCUUAGAUGGUGUCGAACAGUCUGUCAUAACAGAAGCAGAAGCACAGGUUCAGAGCACUUUGGUAAAGGCAGCACCAAAUCCUAGGGCAUUUGAUCUCCGUGAACAGUUUGUCAAAAUGAACGAACUUAGCAGUGCCACGCAUCCUGCAUCCAUCAUUACUGUCUUGGAUGGAAUUUUCAACGAUGUAAAAUUGACGCCCAUUUGUCUAUACCGUCGUAGCAUGAACACAGAAAUAGAAAAGGAGAAAAUUUUCUGUAACCUCUAUCUAGCUGGUCAUCUCAUCAUGAUUGGUGAAGCAGAGAACCGAACAGAUGCCCAAGCAGACGCUUACUCUAAAGCCCGAUAGGUUUCACGAACUGUGACCCCGAGUUCAUCCUCCCCCAACACAGUAAACUUCAACCACACGACCAAGCAGCAACAGAUGUUAUCGACUUUCGUGUCAAGGGCAACUGCAUUUUGGAAGAUAACUGUUCGAAUCUUCAUCGCUUACAAUGGACCCGAAAACCUAUAUCAACACUACCAGCCAAGGAUAUCGUUGUCUUUGAGGACGUCAGUUGGAUAGUAGAUCGUAAAGUUCAAGGUUUCUAUAUUUUACAACAUUCAUGUUUUGUCAACAAUAUGUUGUUGGAAUGGGAGUUUUUUGACAAUGAUGAUCGUGUAUUCAGAUGUCAGAUGAAGAUACAGAAGGAAGAUGUUGGAACCGAACCUGCAGUGUCUCUUAGUAAGAUAGGCUCUAGAAAUUUUGCAGCAGCUGAUAUCUUGUUUAAGCUCUACGAAACACAACCAGUCAUAGAGGUUUCUGCUUACACUAAACCUGAUCAAGCGAUAGAAUCUGUCAGUUUUGAUACGUUGCUUAAAGAAGCGGAGGUGUUGAAGAAAGCUGCCGAGGAUGCAGGAGAAAACGUUACAGCUACUACAGCUGAGGGAACUGAUUCAGAAACUGAGACCAGUGACACAGAUGUUGAAAUGAAGGAAGAAGUAACAGAUUCACAGGCUAAGAAGAAAUAUCCUAGAAAACCACAUUACCGUCAUGCUGAUAGAUUUAUUUUAAAAGCUGCCCAGGCACGACUAGACGAAUUCAUUAAAGUUAAAAUGCUAAAAGAUCUACUGUUUGGACCUGCUUUCCCUCAUCAUAUCACACGCCAGAUUAACGGCUUACUGUAUAACCUCCCCGUUCCAGUUCGCUUUAUAAAUCAUUCCACUAGAAAUCAGAUGUACACCAUUGUAACGCAAAGUAUGUCACCGAUCAAAAUUGUCGCAUUUCUCAAAGCCAACGGUGGACAGUCUGGUCGCUUUCGUUUAGUCGACAAAUCAGAACUUCCGACACAUAAGGACAUUUUACCAGAACUUAAAAGUAGGGAAAUUUUAACUAAGAUCAAAUCCAAAUUUUAGUAGAAAUUUCAAUUUUGAUUGGCUAAGCACUAAAACCAAUCAAAUUGUUGGCUUUUUUUUGCUAAUAAAUAUAAGUGCUAGUCUAA